AAAGAAUUAGUUAAAUAUAUAACAUUAGAAUGUCAAACUAAAAUUAUUAAUAAAUUAAUAUUCUUUA
This 67-nucleotide transfer RNA is filed under the name Amara communis. RNAcentral describes it as "tRNA-Asp". Lineage: Eukaryota; Metazoa; Arthropoda; Insecta; Coleoptera; Carabidae. The record is from RNAcentral.